RNAcentral lists this long non-coding RNA (1703 nucleotides) under Capra hircus (goat). Its description in RNAcentral is "lncRNA (ENSCHIG00000006831.1)". Lineage: Eukaryota; Metazoa; Chordata; Mammalia; Artiodactyla; Bovidae. The record is from RNAcentral.
AUGAGGGAAACAAGUUACAAAAAAUGUUUAGAGUUGAGACUGGUUAGGAGGAGACUGUUGAUGGACCUGGCAGGCCUGGAGUGGGGCAGAGGUGGAGGGAUCGGGGGCAGAGGGGCUGGGGCCGCCCAGGUGCUGCUGUGGACACCCCUCCUGGCCCUUCCCCGCCAGCUGCAGGAGCCCAGCAGAGAGAGGACACCGCCGAAGCUGGAUGGCCACUGUGCAGAGCAGCCCGGGGUCAUGACGAAGGAGCUGGAGCUGGAGGUGCUGCGCCUGAGCCUGAGUGACAUGCACGCAGCACGGCUGGAGCGGACGCAGGCGCACUUGCAGCGCGAGAAGGAGGCAGCACUGGCCGAGCUGCACGCUGAGCUCACCGGGCGGCACGCACAGGAGCGGGCCCUGCUGCAGAGCCGUGCACGCCGGGAGCUGGAGCUGGUCCGCGAGGAGGCAGCUGAGCUGAAGGAGAAGCUACAAUCAGAAAUGGAAAAAAAUGCCCAGAUGAUAGAGAUUCUGAAGCAAGACUGGGAUUCUGAGAGAGACUCAUGUUUAGAAAACCUGCGCCAAGAAUUAUUGGAAAAGCAUCGGUCAGAACUGGAGAAUUUACAAAACCAGUUUAAGAAAGAAUUGGCACAACAAAAAGCUGAGUUGGAGAAGGUUUUUCAAGCCAAAAAUCAAGCUGAAUGUUCCCUUCAGACGCAGGAGGCGCAGCACGAGGCCUCCCUGAGCAAGCUCCGUGCAGACCUGCAGUUGGAGCACUGCCAGUACUUGGAGGAGCUGGAGCGGAAGUUCCAAAAGAAGGAGAAGGAGAACCAGCUGGAGCUGGAGAGGCUGCGUGCAUCCUAUGAGGAGCUACAGGCUCGGUCCCGGGAGGAGAUCCAGUGCCUGGGGGCCCAGCUUGAGUCCGCGAGGUCCAGCAGGCAGGAGCUGAGUGAGUUGCGUGAGCAGCUCCUGGCCCGGGCAUCUCACGUGGAGGAGCUGGAGCUCCUGAAGAGAGACUUGGAGCAGCAGCAGCAGCAGGAGAGGAGCCGGCACGAGUCUGAACUGGAGCAGCUGAGGCUCUAUUUUGAAGAGAAGCUGAGGGAGGCCGAGCGGAGCUACCAGGAGGACCUGACCCUGUUGCAGCGGCGGCUGCAGGAGGGGAGGGAUGACUCCCUGCUGGAGGCCAUGGGGACCAGUGCCUGUUUGGAAGAGACACCAGAAGAAGAAAGACACCAUCCUGACAGACUCAGCCUUCAGCGGGAGCAGCUUGAGGAGAGCCUGGGUUUGCGCACAUGGUUAGAAGAAAAGCACCAGUGCCAACUAGCAGCGGGGACGUCCUCCCAGGAUGCCCAGCUAGAAGCACUGGAAGGAGAGCUGCCUGCAGAGGGUUCGGAGGAGCCCGGCCGAGGUAUGUUUUUAAGUGCUCCUGUGGCAGCCAGCCUGCAGGGGUGUUCUGGGCUAUGACCGCAUCCCACGAGAGCCGCCGGCACUGCGCGUGCUGGCUGUUGACUCUGUAGCUGGGGUGCCGGAGGCCCUUCCCCAGGGUCGAGGAGCAGGCCCCGUGUGUCAGGAGAGGGUCUGCUUGGGCAGCAGUAUGGGGUCUCUGGGGGCCAUGGGGAUGGAGAAGCUGUGGUCAUCCCAGGCAUGGACUGGGGCCCAGGAGAGCGGAUGCACAGCUGGCCCUGGACCCGGAGCCCAGGAAAGGGUGGGUCCCGCAUCAGGCUGAG